UACGAAGGGGGCUAGCGUUGCUCGGAAUUACUGGGCGUAAAGCGCACGUAGGCGGAUUGUUAAGUCGGGGGUGAAAUCCUGGAGCUCAACUCCAGAACUGCCUUCGAUACUGGCGAUCUCAAGUUCGGGAGAGGUGAGUGGAACUGCGAGUGUAGAGGUGAAAUUCGUAGAUAUUCGCAAGAACACCAGUGGCGAAGGCGGCUCACUGGCCCGAUACUGACGCUGAGGUGCGAAAGCGUGGGGAGCAAACAGG
RNAcentral lists this ribosomal RNA (253 nucleotides) under uncultured bacterium. Its description in RNAcentral is "partial 16S ribosomal RNA". It matches the Rfam family "Bacterial small subunit ribosomal RNA", at positions 524 to 776 of the family's 1533-position model. The record is from RNAcentral.